RNAcentral lists this ribosomal RNA (500 nucleotides) under uncultured bacterium. RNAcentral's name for it is "partial 16S ribosomal RNA". It matches the Rfam family "Bacterial small subunit ribosomal RNA", at positions 28 to 507 of the family's 1533-position model. The record is from RNAcentral.
GACGAACGCUGGCGGCGUGCUUAACACAUGCAAGUCGAACGGGUCUGCCCUGUUUUUUGCGGGGUGGGUCAGUGGCGAACGGGUGAGUAACACGUGAGUAACCUGCCCCUCACUUCUGGAUAACCGCUUGAAAGGGUGGCUAAUACGGGGUGUUCUGGCUGUGCCGCAUGGUGUGGCUGGGAAAGAUUCACUUUUGUGGUGUUUUGGUGGGGGAUGGGCUCGCGGCCUAUCAGCUUGUUGGGGGGGUGAUGGCCUGCCAAGGCUUUGACGGGUAGCCGGCCUGAGAGGGUGGGCGGUCAGAGUGGGACUGAGAUACGGCCCAGACUCCUGCGGGAGGCAGCAGUGGGGGGUAGUGCACAAUGGGCGGAAGCCUGAUGCAGCGACGUCGCGUGAGGGAUGGAGGCCUGCGGGUUGUGAACCUCUUUCGCCGGUGAAGAAGGUCCUGCUCUUUGUGGUGGGGUUGACGGUAGCCGGGUUAUGAAGCGCCGGCUAACUACGUG